RNAcentral lists this long non-coding RNA (1065 nucleotides) under Homo sapiens (human). RNAcentral's name for it is "non-protein coding lnc-SLC29A4-5:12". The record is from RNAcentral. Lineage: Eukaryota; Metazoa; Chordata; Mammalia; Primates; Hominidae.
ACUCCACUGUUUGGCUGGGAAAGGACCGAGACGCGCUCAGUGCACAGGGGGCCGGCUGCGGCCAUAAAUCUCCGGGCGGGCCCUCCUUCCCGCUGCUCACGCCGGGGUGCUCCGGGCCGGUCUCGUGUCCCGGGCCACGCCGCGCACCCUGCUCACCCCAUCACGGCCUGGGGACCCGGAGACUGCGCAGGGAACCACGCCAGGAGCUUCUCCGUUCACCAAAGAGAGGGAACGGCCUCGUUCCUCGGUGUCAACACCAUCCAUCUCUGAGGGCGCUGGACCCUGAGGUGGCCCGAGCUUCACAGGAUCACCGCCUUGGGAGGGGCGGGAACAGGCCUUCGCGCUGGUGUCUUACAUCAGCCAAGCAAACCAUGGGCGCGAUUGGAGCCAACCACCUCCAGCGGGGUUUUGCUCCAGACUUAAGGUGCACGGAAACCGGAGCAUUCAGCCCUUCAUGGAUGCCUCCCGAAAACCUCACCAUGCCAGUGACACGACUGCAAACGGCGGGUGGCACAUGCCGGGGGCUUGGGAUGGGAGGGUUUGGAAACCUCGCUCCAAGGACGCCCUCAGCCAAGGAGCUUCGGCUCCUUCCUAGAAUUUCUAGAAGCACUUUUGGAGGGACCGAGGGCUUCCGGCCGGGCCCAGAGGAAUUUGAGCGCUUGCCCGGGCAGGCAGAAGCGCAGCCUGGGAGUGGAGAGGCUGCUGGGCCACAUUCCGGCCCAGCUUCCCCCGCUAGGCCCCAGCCCUGCCGCGGCGCCCCAGGAAGCACCUCCGAAAACAAAGCGCUGUGAGGCGCUGCACCUAGGUGGGGAGUGGGUGCCCCGGGAGAGGACUGUCCCUUCUCUUAGAGGUUCCUUCCCCCACCCCCUCCCUGCCGGCUCCCAGCUUUGUUUAGGCCUCUGAACCCCUCCGGGGCAGGCCUGUGCACGCCGAGUUCUGCAGCAAAUUCCACGGCCAGCCUGUCCCUCAGAGGCACCUCAGCACGCCCCACCUCUCCCAGCCCCACCUCCCCAGCACACGCCACGCGUCCCAAAUCCAGGCUGUCCCACCCCCUUCCCAGGCAGA